AUGGGAGAUGCACGACAAUUGCAAGUAAAUGGAAAAGGGAAGGCCAAGAAUGAUUAUAACAGUUGGAAUAUGGAAGAGAGCAAGAUGUUGUUACAACUCAUGGUCGAUGCUGUGUCUCAUGGAUGGCGGAAUCCUAAUGGCGUGCUAAACAAGGCAACUGUAGAAGCUAAAAUACUUCCAAAGAUUAAUGAAAAACUUAAGUGUCAAAAAAGUUAUUCUCAUUACCAGAGUCGGUUGAAAUACUUUAAGAAAAAAUAUCGAAAGUAUACCCAACUUGUCCAUCAUUGCUCUAGGUUUGAGUGGGACCCAAUCAGAAAGAAAUUCAUUGGUGAUGAAAAACUUUGGGAAGAUUACUUUAAGGUGCACUUCUUAACUCUUCUUUAAAUAUAUUAUAUUUGGUAAUUUGAGUACAUAUUACUUCCUUUCUUAAAUAAUAAUUAUUUUCUUGUUUCAUUUACAGUCCUAUCCGAGCCACAUAGGCCUUCGCACAGAAACUUGUGAGGACUAUGAGGAAUUGCAAAUUUUAUUUGGGAAUGAAAUUGCUAUUGAGAGAAACUCGUUAGAAUUGGAUGAUGAUAUUGAUGCAAGAUUUGAUUGGGUCGAAGAUAGACAUGUUAGAAAAGAGGAGUUUGUUUAUGAUGAUGGUAAUAAGGCUUUUCUACCAAAUGAAAAGGAACCAUCACACCAAGAUCCAUCACCUGGACAAUCUUCAUCACCCUUACUCUUUCAUGCCACUAGUCCGAAAGUUCCCUCAGAAAGCAUCAACCAGAAGAAACGAACUAGAGCUGAGUAUGAAGGGAAUACUACCUCAUUUGAGACCACCAAUCAAGCUGGAAUACUGGAAAAACUUUCUCUUAGCAUUGAUUCAAUUGCUACCAACUUUCAGAGAAUCUGUAACCUAUUGGAGAAAAGGGAGAAAGAUAGAGAGAAAAGGAAAAGAGAGAACCAAAGUUGUAUCUGGGAUGCUAUUAAGGAGACCCCAAAUUUAGAUGAACGUGCUCGUUAUAAAGCAGUUGCAUUGCUUAAUACUAAAACAAGAAGGGAUGUAUUUUUUAGUAUGUCACUUGAAGAGCGCUCAGAUUGGAUAACCUACCUUUUGAAAUGA
RNAcentral lists this long non-coding RNA (1105 nucleotides) under Prunus dulcis (almond). RNAcentral's name for it is "sRNA ncRNA". The record is from RNAcentral. Lineage: Eukaryota; Viridiplantae; Streptophyta; Magnoliopsida; Rosales; Rosaceae.